RNAcentral lists this long non-coding RNA (411 nucleotides) under Trifolium pratense (red clover). Its description in RNAcentral is "long non-coding RNA (TPRA_LNC011654)". Lineage: Eukaryota; Viridiplantae; Streptophyta; Magnoliopsida; Fabales; Fabaceae. The record is from RNAcentral.
UUUCAUUCUCUCCCCCAAAUAAUACAUGAUUUAGACAUUAAAACAGAUUCCCACACACAUUCCUUUUAAUAUUUCAAAUACAAUCAUUAAUAAAAAAAUAUCAAAGAAUCAAAUUUCAUACCAAAUUAUAAAUAAAUUCAAUUACAAAAUAUUCAUGAAACAAGGUUACCAAAAGUAUCAUGGAUUUAAAUAUAUCUUAACAAAACUAAAGAAUGCUACUACCAAUACUGCAAUACACUAUCCUAACCUAAAGCAAAGAGACACAGGUCUGCAAACAAAAGCACAAAACCAAAUAGCACCAGCGCCUCAACAAAGAGAUCCCUGACACCGCACCUGCACACAGAGACAACAAAAGUUAAGUACAAAAAUUGCAAAGAAGUGAAAAUGAGCAUAUGGUUAUAAUACAAAGCA